GGCGCUGCGGCGGGCGCGGGCGCUGCCGAGCCUUCGGCGGGCUCGUCGGCGAAGUCGACCACGGUGCUGCGGGCGUACAGGUCGACCGAUGCGUCG
This 96-nucleotide transfer RNA is filed under the name Variovorax paradoxus. RNAcentral's name for it is "tRNA-Pro". Lineage: Bacteria; Pseudomonadati; Pseudomonadota; Betaproteobacteria; Burkholderiales; Comamonadaceae. The record is from RNAcentral.